Molecule: ribosomal RNA, 521 nt
Filed under: uncultured soil bacterium
Lineage: Bacteria
Description: bacterial SSU rRNA
Rfam family: Bacterial small subunit ribosomal RNA
Source: RNAcentral
AGAGUUUGAUCCUGGCUCAGAUUGAACGCUGGCGGCGUGCCUAACACAUGCAAGUCGAUCGGUAACGCGGGGGCAACCCUGGCGACGAGAGGCGGACGGGUGAGCAAUGCUUGGGAAUCUGCCCAUCAGCGGGGGACAACCCGGGGAAACUCGGGCUAAUACCGCAUACGCUCUACGGAGGAAAGCCGGGGACCGCAAGGCCUGGCACUGACGGAUGAGCCCAAGCCGGAUCAGCUAGUUGGCGGGGUAACGGCCCACCAAGGCGACGAUCCGUAGCUGGUCUGAGAGGACGAUCAGCCACACCGGAACUGAGACACGGUCCGGACUCCUACGGGAGGCAGCAGUGGGGAAUAUUGGACAAUGGGGGAAACCCUGAUCCAGCGACGCCGCGUGGGUGAAGAAGGCCUGCGGGUUGUAAAGCCCUUUCGGUAGGGACGAAAGCUUCCGACCUAACACGUCGGAAGGUUGACUUAACCUACAAAAGAAGCACCGGCUAACUCUGUGCCAGCAGCCGCGGUAAU